GAGAACUGAAACAGAGGAAACAAGCAGUGCUUCAGAAGAUGCUCCUGAAUUUCAAAUUUCUAAUUGUUUUUAAUAUAAGACCUUUAUUUCAAUAAUGGUAACACCAGCAUUGUGUGUUCCUUCUAAGUGAGGAAAUUCAGAAUUUCCAACCAAAGGGGAAAACAAUUCUGGAGGAGUAGUAGGAAACUUUAUUUGUGGUGUGUAGUACACCGACUGGGAAACCAGAAGACAGAACACCACAAGCAAUCCAAGGGCACAAACUAUCCUAGGCGGUCAAGUUUCAAGUUCUAGUUAUGAUUAACAUCUGGAAACAUUAACAACCAUAGAGAUGUCUCUCCGAAGUACCUACUACAGGACUGUAUGCAUUAUGUGAAGGGGAACUGGUGUAACUGGAUGCAUGUUCAAUCUUUUUUGAUAAUGAAAUGCCCUUCUCCACAACCCUCCAGUGGUAUCAAUGGAGCCCAUGUAUGGACCUUGGUCAUCUAGUCUCACCUAACAGUAAUGACGCACUGCUUCCCCCUCAAUUGCAGUUGUCAGUGGAAUACAGGUGGGGAGCCUGGACUUCUGCCUCUUCCUGGCAAUAUCAAGGCACCUCUUCCCCUGCAGCAUCAAUGAAUGCUGAGUAGGGAGCCCAAUGGACUUCACCGACCAUCUAGUAGUAAAGUAUCAGUGGAAACCUACUAAAGCAGAGGAUUUAAGACUUAAGAGUCUUAUAUAAAAUGUUCAGGAUACAACUGAAAAUCACUCAUCAUACUAAGAACCAGGGAAGUCAUGACUUGAUAG
Mustela erminea (ermine) is the source of this 783-nucleotide long non-coding RNA. RefSeq lists it as uncharacterized. The transcript has 3 exons. The record is from RefSeq and is a predicted model, not a curated record. Lineage: Eukaryota; Metazoa; Chordata; Mammalia; Carnivora; Mustelidae.